This 460-nucleotide ribosomal RNA is filed under the name uncultured bacterium. RNAcentral's name for it is "partial 16S ribosomal RNA". It matches the Rfam family "Bacterial small subunit ribosomal RNA", at positions 338 to 795 of the family's 1533-position model. The record is from RNAcentral.
CCUACGGGUGGCUGCAGUGAGGAAUAUUGGUCAAUGGGCGCGAGCCUGAACCAGCCAAGUAGCGUGAAGGAUGACUGCCCUACGGGUUGUAAACUUCUUUUAUAAAGGAAUAAAGUGAGGCACGUGUGCCUUUUUGUAUGUACUUUAUGAAUAAGGAUCGGCUAACUCCGUGCCAGCAGCCGCGGUAAUACGGAGGAUCCGAGCGUUAUCCGGAUUUAUUGGGUUUAAAGGGAGCGUAGAUGGGUUGUUAAGUCAGUUGUGAAAGUUUGCGGCUCAACCGGAAAAUUGCAAUUGAUACUGGCAGGCUGGAGUAGAGUUGAGGUAGGCGGAAUGCGUGGUGUAGCGGUGAAAUGCUUAGAUAUCACGAAGAACUCCGAUUGCGAAGGCAGCGUACUAAACCGCCACUGACAUUGAUGCUCGAAAGUGUGGGUAUCAAACAGGAUUAGAUACCCUUGUAGUC